RNAcentral lists this ribosomal RNA (857 nucleotides) under Oceanispirochaeta sp. M1. Its description in RNAcentral is "bacterial SSU rRNA". It matches the Rfam family "Bacterial small subunit ribosomal RNA", at positions 1 to 828 of the family's 1533-position model. The record is from RNAcentral. Lineage: Bacteria; Pseudomonadati; Spirochaetota; Spirochaetia; Spirochaetales; Spirochaetaceae.
GUCUUCGGACGAUAAACUAUAUCAUGGAGAGUUUGAUCCUGGCUCAGAACGAACGCUGGCGGCGCGUUUUAAGCAUGCAAGUCGAACGGUAGAGAGGUGCUUGCACCUCUUGAGAGUGGCGAACGGGUGAGUAACGCGUAGGUGAUCUACCAUUUAGUUGGGGAUAGCUCAUGGAAACAUGGGGUAAUACCGAAUAAUCUUUAUCCUCUUGUGGAUAAAGGAAAGGGGCGUUUGCCUCGCUGAAUGAUGAGCCUGCGUAUGAUUAGCUAGUUGGUAGAGUAAUAGCCUACCAAGGCGACGAUCAUUAGCCGGCCUGAGAGGGUGACCGGCCACAUUGGGACUGAGACACGGCCCAGACUCCUACGGGAGGCAGCAGCUAAGAAUCUUCCGCAAUGGACGAAAGUCUGACGGAGCGACGCCGCGUGUGCGAAGAAUGUCGAGAGAUUGUAAAGCACUUUUAUAUGUGAGGAAUAACAGUAUCAGGAAAUGGGUAUUGGAUGACGUUAGCAUAUGAAUAAGCUCCGGCCAAUUACGUGCCAGCAGCCGCGGUAACACGUAAGGAGCGAGCGUUGUUCGGAAUUAUUGGGCGUAAAGGGCAUGUAGGCGGUUAUGUAAGUCCGAUGUGAAAGCACACAGCUUAACUGUGAUGUUGCGUUGGAAACUGUAUGACUUGAAUCCGAGAGGGGUAAGUGGAAUUCCUAGUGUAGGGGUGAAAUCUGUUGAUAUUAGGAAGAACACCGGAGGCGAAGGCGACUUGCUGGCUCUGGAUUGACGCUGAGGUGCGAAAGCGUAGGUAGCGAACAGGAUUAGAUACCCUGGUAGUCUACGCCGUAAACGAUGUACACUUGGUGUCUGGG